GCCUGGGUGGCUCAGUUGGUUGAGCUUCUGACUUUGGCUCAGAUCAUGUUCUUAGGGUUAGUGAGUUUGAGCCCCGCAUCGGGCU
RNAcentral lists this transfer RNA (85 nucleotides) under Felis catus (domestic cat). It matches the Rfam family "tRNA". Rfam says of the family: Transfer RNA (tRNA) molecules are approximately 80 nucleotides in length. Their secondary structure includes four short double-helical elements and three loops (D, anti-codon, and T loops). Lineage: Eukaryota; Metazoa; Chordata; Mammalia; Carnivora; Felidae. The record is from Rfam by way of RNAcentral.